AAAUUGAAGAGUUUGAUCAUGGCUCAGAUUGAACGCUGGCGGCAGGCCUAACACAUGCAAGUCGAACGGUAACAGGAAGCAGCUUGCUGCUUCGCUGACGAGUGGCGGACGGGUGAGUAAUGUCUGGGAAACUGCCUGAUGGAGGGGGAUAACUACU
Molecule: ribosomal RNA, 157 nt
Filed under: Escherichia coli
Lineage: Bacteria; Pseudomonadati; Pseudomonadota; Gammaproteobacteria; Enterobacterales; Enterobacteriaceae
Also listed under: 5 other names
Description: partial 16S ribosomal RNA
Rfam family: Bacterial small subunit ribosomal RNA
Source: RNAcentral